Molecule: ribosomal RNA, 486 nt
Filed under: uncultured bacterium
Lineage: Bacteria
Description: partial 16S ribosomal RNA
Rfam family: Bacterial small subunit ribosomal RNA
Source: RNAcentral
ACUCAAAUGAAUAGACGGGGGCCCGCACAAGCAGCGGAGCGUGUGGUUUAAUUCGAGGCUACCCGAAGAACCUUACCUGGGUUUGACAUCACCGUAGUAGCGAGACGAAAGUUGAGCGACCUUUUGGGAGCGGUGACAGGUGCUGCAUGGCUGUCGUCAGCUCGUGUCGUGAGAUGUACGGUUAAGUCCGCAAACGAGCGCAACCCCUGGGAGCAGUUACACGCAGUCUGCUCCGACUGCCUGUGAGAAACGGGAGGAAGGUGGGGAUGACGUCAAGUCAGCAUGGCCUUGAUAUCCAGGGCGACACACACGCUACAAUGGACGGUACAGAGGGGAGCGAGACCGCGAGGUGGAGCCAAUCCCACAAAGCCGUUCGUAGUUCGGAUUGCAGGCUGCAACCCGCCUGCAUGAAGCUGGAGUUGCUAGUAACCGCCGGUCAGCCAAACGGCGGUGAAUACGUUCCCGGGCCUUGCACACACCGCCCGU